RNAcentral lists this ribosomal RNA (492 nucleotides) under uncultured bacterium. Its description in RNAcentral is "partial 16S ribosomal RNA". It matches the Rfam family "Bacterial small subunit ribosomal RNA", at positions 29 to 507 of the family's 1533-position model. The record is from RNAcentral.
AGUGAACGCUGGCGGUAGGCCUAACACAUGCAAGUCGAACGGCAGCACAGUAAGAGCUUGCUCUUACGGGUGGCGAGUGGCGGACGAGUGAGGAAUACAUCGGAAUCUACUUUUUCGUGGGGGAUAACGUAGGGAAACUUACGCUAAUACCGCAUACGACCUACGGGUGAAAGCAGGGGAUCUUCGGACCUUGCACGAUUGAAUGAGCCGAUGUCGGAUUAGCUAGUUGGCGGGGUAAAGGCCCACCAAGGCGACGAUCCGUAGCUGGUCUGAGAGGAUGAUCAGCCACACUGGAACUGAGACACGGUCCAGACUCCUACGGGAGGCAGCAGUGGGGAAUAUUGGACAAUGGGCGCAAGCCUGAUCCAGCCAUACCGCGUGGGUGAAGAAGGCCUUCGGGUUGUAAAGCCCUUUUGUUGGGAAAGAAAAGCAGCAGGUUAAUACCCCGCUGUUCUGACGGUACCCAAAGAAUAAGCACCGGCUAACUUCGUG